RNAcentral lists this ribosomal RNA (256 nucleotides) under uncultured bacterium. Its description in RNAcentral is "partial 16S ribosomal RNA". It matches the Rfam family "Bacterial small subunit ribosomal RNA", at positions 524 to 776 of the family's 1533-position model. The record is from RNAcentral.
GACGUAGGUGGCGAACGUUAUCCGGAAUCAUUGGGCGUAAAGGGUGCGUAGGUGGCCUGAUAAGUUAGCAGUGGGAAAUCGAGGCUCAACCUCGUGGAAGCUGGUAAUACUGUUAGGCUAGAGUGCAGGAGAGGUUAACGGAACUCCAUGUGGAGCGGUAAAAUGUGUAGAUAUAUGGAAGAACAUCAAUAACGGCGAAGGCAGUUAACUAGUCUGUUACUGACGUUGAGGCACGAAAGCGUGGGGAGCAAAACGG